Non-coding RNA from Schistosoma rodhaini, 45 nucleotides. Lineage: Eukaryota; Metazoa; Platyhelminthes; Trematoda; Strigeidida; Schistosomatidae. The record is from Rfam.
ACCUAGUUGACGAAUCCCAAAUAGGACGAAACGCACAUCCUGUAU